Long non-coding RNA from Nicotiana tabacum (common tobacco), 612 nucleotides. RefSeq lists it as uncharacterized. NCBI's taxonomy places the organism in Eukaryota, Viridiplantae, Streptophyta, Magnoliopsida, Solanales, Solanaceae. The record is from RefSeq and is a predicted model, not a curated record.
CUGCCAAAUCUCCCACCCCCAUCGCUCCCACCCCCAAAAAAGGAAAAAGCCCCAAACUUCGAAUUAAACAGUUCAAUCGUAUAAACCUAAUAAGCCCAAAACUUCUCUAACUGUUAGUAAACCUCGGUUUGAACGGAAUUAGCAGAGCGAAUUAGCGAACGAAUUGAAGCUGCUCGUCACCUCCAUUGAUAACAACUGAUAAUCUUUGAGGUUAUUCACAUCAUGUUCCGCAUCAACAUGAUUAAUCUGGACGUAUCUUUUUAGGAAAAAUCAGUUAUUUACAGAUUGACGGAGGAUAAAGCUUCUUUUCUACAUCACAGCAACAGACUUCGCCAAGAAUUGGUACAGGUAUUCCUGAGGCAUAGAGCGAGUUUUCUGCUAUUCAGUUUUCAUCGGAGUUAUCGAGGAUGCUUGGAGGACAACACUUCUUCGAAGAGUGAAGGAAACAUUGAAGGCUAAGGAUCUCGAGGAAGAUGAUCUAUCUUAAUUUGUUCCCCUUUGACCUAUUGUAAACUACUAGUACAUCCUUUAUUUGAUUUUAUUUGUACUGCUUUCAAAUAUGAUACUUUAGUUCUUUGUAUUAACAAGAUAUCAAGUAUUUGGUUUAUUUUC